GUUCAGUGCAGUUUGGAGUACCUAGUAUGUAAAAGAAGUGGAGGUCUGGCUUCCUGUCCAUACACUGUCACCAUAUUUGGACAGUUGUUCCAUCUGUUAAGACUCAACUGGGAGCAGCCAGCCUGUCUUUGUUGCAUCAGAAUCUCAAAAGGAAGUCUGUGGCAUCGGCAAACAGUGUAUCAGGAGAUGCAGAGGAGCUUAAGAUUUAGAAAAGGACAGGAAGAGCCACCCAGCCAGGCUGACCGGAGCAACCCCAGAACAGGAAAUGGAAGCACGAAUGCAUCCUACCCAAACGUGACAUCUGGAAAGAAGGGGAGAAGAAGGAAAUGAUGGGGAAAUCGAGAACACAUUAGCUUGCAAAAGUGAAGAGUCAUGGAAGUUUCCAUUAUGCUAUCAAAGGAACGAGGACUGGAGAUGGCUCAGUGUUCAAGAGCAUUUGUUCUUCCAGAGGAUCAGAGUUCAGUUCCCAGCAUCCGCAUGGUGGCUCCCAACCAUCCAGUCCAGGGGAUCUUGUACCUUCUGGUAUACAUAUAAGCAUAUAAGUAUUCAGGCAAAAUACUCAUACAGAUAAAUGAAAUGUCAAAAAAAAAAAAAAACAACAAUGACAAAAACCAACCAACCAAACAAAACCAGCGACACAUAUACAAUGUUUUAAAUAUCUCAAAGGAAAGAAGAGUAUACUUUUUCAGAGGGGAG
Molecule: long non-coding RNA, 696 nt
Organism: Apodemus sylvaticus (European woodmouse)
Lineage: Eukaryota; Metazoa; Chordata; Mammalia; Rodentia; Muridae
Exons: 4
Source: RefSeq, a predicted model, not a curated record